This 777-nucleotide ribosomal RNA is filed under the name uncultured bacterium. RNAcentral's name for it is "bacterial SSU rRNA". It matches the Rfam family "Bacterial small subunit ribosomal RNA", at positions 565 to 1340 of the family's 1533-position model. The record is from RNAcentral.
GAGCUCGUAGGUGGUUUGUCGCGUUGUUCGUGAAAUCUCACGGCUUAACUGUGAGCGUGCGGGCGAUACGGGCAGACUUGAGUACUGCAGGGGAGACUGGAAUUCCUGGUGUAGCGGUGGAAUGCGCAGAUAUCAGGAGGAACACCGGUGGCGAAGGCGGGUCUCUGGGCAGUAACUGACGCUGAGGAGCGAAAGCGUGGGGAGCGAACAGGAUUAGAUACCCUGGUAGUCCACGCCGUAAACGGUGGGUACUAGGUGUGGGUUUCCUUCCUUGGGAUCCGUGCCGUAGCUAACGCAUUAAGUACCCCGCCUGGGGAGUACGGCCGCAAGGCUAAAACUCAAAGAAAUUGACGGGGGCCCGCACAAGCGGCGGAGCAUGUGGAUUAAUUCGAUGCAACGCGAAGAACCUUACCUGGGUUUGACAUGCACAGGACGCCGGCAGAGAUGUCGGUUCCCUUGUGGCCUGUGUGCAGGUGGUGCAUGGCUGUCGUCAGCUCGUGUCGUGAGAUGUUGGGUUAAGUCCCGCAACGAGCGCAACCCUUGUCUCAUGUUGCCAGCGGGUAAUGCCGGGGACUCGUGAGAGACUGCCGGGGUCAACUCGGAGGAAGGUGGGGAUGACGUCAAGUCAUCAUGCCCCUUAUGUCCAGGGCUUCACACAUGCUACAAUGGCCGGUACAAAGGGCUGCGAUGCCGCGAGGUUAAGCGAAUCCUUUUAAAGCCGGUCUCAGUUCGGAUCGGGGUCUGCAACUCGACCCCGUGAAGUCGGAGUCGCUAGUA